AGUGAACGCUGGCGGUAGGCCUAACACAUGCAAGUCGAACGGCAGCACAGUAAGAGCUUGCUCUUACGGGUGGCGAGUGGCGGACGGGUGAGGAAUACAUCGGAAUCUACUUUUUCGUGGGGGAUAACGUAGGGAAACUUACGCUAAUACCUCAUACGACCUACGGGUGAAAGCAGGGGAUCUUCGGACCUUUCGCGAUUGAAUGAGCCGAUGUCGGAUUAGCUAGUUGGCGGGGUAAAGGCCCACCAAGGCGACGAUCCGUAGCUGGUCUGAGAGGAUGAUCAGCCACACUGGAACUGAGACACGGUCCAGACUCCUACGGGAGGCAGCAGUGGGGAAUAUUGGACAAUGGGCGAAAGCCUGAUCCAGCCAUACCGCGUGGGUGAAGAAGGCCUUCGGGUUGUAAAGCCCUUUUGUUGGGAAAGAAAAGCAGCAGGUUAAUACCCCGCUGUUCUGACGGUACCCAAAGAAUAAGCACCGGCUAACUUCGUG
RNAcentral lists this ribosomal RNA (492 nucleotides) under uncultured bacterium. RNAcentral describes it as "partial 16S ribosomal RNA". It matches the Rfam family "Bacterial small subunit ribosomal RNA", at positions 29 to 507 of the family's 1533-position model. The record is from RNAcentral.